Canis lupus familiaris (dog) is the source of this 1084-nucleotide long non-coding RNA. RefSeq lists it as uncharacterized. The transcript has 3 exons. The record is from RefSeq and is a predicted model, not a curated record. NCBI's taxonomy places the organism in Eukaryota, Metazoa, Chordata, Mammalia, Carnivora, Canidae.
GAGACACACAGAGGCAGAGACACAGGCAGAGGGAGAAGCAGGCUCCCUGCAGGGAGCCUGACGUGGGCUUCGAUCCCAGGACCCCGGGAUCACACCCUGAGCCGAGGGCAGACCUCAGCCCCUGAGCCUCCCUGGGGGCCCCGACUCUGCCCUCUUUAAACAGUAAUUCCCCUUUCCACCUGCAGCCCCCGGUAGCUUCCAUUAUGCUUCCUGCCUGUGGGUUUCCCUAACCUGGACACUGCAUGGAUAUGAAUACGUACACAAGCUGGGUGGGGAGACAGAGGAGAGAGACACGCAGACUCCCCACUCAGGGCAGGGCCCGACGUGGGGCUUGAUCCCAUGACCCACGGAUCAUGACCUGAGCCCAAAUCAGGUGUUAGAUGUUGAAGAGACCAAGUCACCCGGUGUCACUGGACGUGGAAAACAUGGAAAAUGCAUCCUCCCACGUCUGGCUGCUUCUGCUGAGCAUCAUGUUCCCGAGGCUCGCCCACGUCGUGGCCUGUAGCCCCAUUCCCUUCAUGCCUGACUCCCAUUCUGUGGCACGGACACACCCCAUUUUUUUGUUGGUCUAGUCCUCUGUCAGCAGGCCCUUGAGUUGUGUCCACUGUUUGGCUCCUGCGGCUAAUGUGCUGUGGGGAGCACAAGGAUCUGCUCGAGGUCCCAUUUUUUUUUAAGAUUUUAUUUAUUUAUUCAUGAGAGACACACACAGAGAGAGGCAGAGACACAGGCAGAGGGAGAAGCAGGCUCCAUGCAGGGAGCCCGAUGUGGGACUCGAUCCCGGGACUCCAGGAUCACGCCUCAAGUCAAAAGGCAGACGCUCAACUGCUGAGCCACCCAGGGAUCCCCUUGAGGUCCAUUUUUAAAUCUUAUGGGUGUAUCUUAAGUUGCUGGGUCACGUAGUAAAACUGUGUUUAAGUUUUUCAGGAGCUGCCAGGCUGGUUUCCACAGUGGCUGCUCCAUUGAAUGUUCUCACCGGCGAUGCACAGGAGACAUAUCUAGAAACAUGCUGCUACAGCUGAUGCCAGAGAGAGAGAGAGAGCACAAGUAGAGGGAUCAGCAGAGGGAGAGGGAGAAGCAGACGCCC